This 379-nucleotide ribosomal RNA is filed under the name uncultured cyanobacterium. Its description in RNAcentral is "bacterial SSU rRNA". It matches the Rfam family "Bacterial small subunit ribosomal RNA", at positions 376 to 770 of the family's 1533-position model. Lineage: Bacteria; Bacillati; Cyanobacteriota. The record is from RNAcentral.
CGAAAGCCUGACGGAGCAAGACCGCGUGAGGGAGGAAGGCUCUUGGGUUGUAAACCUCUUUUCUCAGGGAAGAAGCUCUGACGGUACCUGAGGAAUCAGCCUCGGCUAACUCCGUGCCAGCAGCCGCGGUAAUACGGAGGAGGCAAGCGUUAUCCGGAAUUAUUGGGCGUAAAGCGUCCGCAGGUGGCAAUUCAAGUCUGCUGUCAAAGCACGGGGCUUAACUCCAGAAGAGCCGUGGAAACUGCACCACUAGAGGGCGGUAGGGGUAGAGGGAAUUCCCGGUGUAGCGGUGAAAUGCGUAGAUAUCGGGAAGAACACCAGUGGCGAAAGCGCUCUACUGGACCGCAACUGACACUGAGGGACGAAAGCUAGGGGAGCA